Molecule: long non-coding RNA, 1124 nt
Organism: Papaver somniferum (opium poppy)
Lineage: Eukaryota; Viridiplantae; Streptophyta; Magnoliopsida; Ranunculales; Papaveraceae
Exons: 3
Source: RefSeq, a predicted model, not a curated record
AGUUUGUUUCUCUAAAAUUCCAGAGAUAAAACUCUGUGGACAGUAAUGGCGACCGAGAACAUGAAAAGUCACCAAAAAGGCCGUCGUUCAUUUGAUCUUCCACUAAACAUAUCCGAUUCAUAUUGCAUAUCUCUCAUACAUCUUCAUCGUCCACUUAUUCCCGCCUGAAAUCUCUACAAAUGAAGAAGAAAACGAAGAAACACCAGCAGAAGAGAAAGAAGAAAGAUAAAGUUGUUAAGAAUUCGCUUUUAUAUCUAAAUGGUCUUGUAUAAUACUUGUAAAACUGAGUUUGAGUCUCUUCAACUACAAGAUUAACGUUCUCAUUUCAAAUCGGACUAUCAUCAUUUCAAUAUAAAAAUUAAACAUAUUUUCUGGUAAAGAUACAGUAAAGGAGGAAAAUUUUUGAUGAAUUGGCUUCUGGUUCUGUGUUGAGAGAUUAUGACGAUAUGUCAAGUAUGUCUGGCUCUUAAGAUGAAGCUGAGAAAAGCUGAGUUCGAGUCUCUUCAAGAUUAACGUUCUCAAUUCAAAUCAGACCAUCAUCCUUUCAAUAUAAAAGUUAUGCAUUUCUGGAAAAGAUACAGUAAAGGAGGAAUUUUUUUUGAUGAAUUGGCUUCUGAUUCUGUGUUCAGAGAUUACGAUGAUAUGUCAAGUAUAUCUGGCUCAGAAGAUGAAGCACAGAAAAGCUCCUUCCCAGGCAAUGAGAUGCACAGGAGGAUAGCGAAAGUUUGGAAAGGAAGUUUUUUUAUCCGUCUUCAGAAAGUUGUCACUGUUUGGAAGUUUUGCUUGAAAAAGAGACUGAAAAUCUCUUGUUGGCAUAAAAUUGGUCGUGAGUUCAAUGAUGGGCAUCCAUUAUACUUGGAAGGCAAAUGAGCUAAAUGAGAUGUAGAUCCACUUCGAGAAUCAAUGGAUGAAUUCAUGAAGGAAUUACAGAGAGACAAGAUCCGUGGCUCUAAAACUAUAUGAAGGAUCAGUUAUUGCAACUGGUAGGACAAGCACAUAUAGCUCGAGGGUUUGGGAUAUAUGCUUGAGAAUUGUAUCUGAAUGUGUUUCUCCUGAUCUUUUUGCUAUACUAGUAAUUUGCAAGCAAUUUGAAUUAUAUAUAUAUAAAUAUAUUUUUAAUACUU